AUGCAGAUGUUUGGCUUCAUGAUUCUAUUUCUAAAACACAUCAUCACACUUAUUGAAUGUUACAGGCUUUGUUACUCUUUUCCCACAGGAAUCCAAAACAACAUUGCCAAUGUUGAGAAACUAUUUACAAAAAGCGAGGAGGCACACCUGCAACGUUCCAGGCUGAAGCAGGAAGGACGACCUCUAGAAAUACAAGAUGGGAAAGCUCUGAGAACAUUCCACAGAACACAAAGAAGGUUCUCUGAAGAAGCAGCAACUGUUUUUGAGGUAUCAGUCUACUCAGAUUAGAUCUUCUCGCAUGGAUCUCAAAGCUAAUGAAUCUUUGAGGACGCUCCAGUCAGCAUCGUCCCUCUGUAUUCCAAAUGACGUACUGGAUCUUCAUGCUGUUGUGGUGAGUUCAUUCAUUCUUUCUUCCUACCAACUCAGGAGGAAUGAUUAAAGUUGGGCUCUUUGUACUGUUCUAUACACAGGCUGAUGUUGGAAAUGGAAACUUCCUGCUGCCACUCUCUCUUUCUUCCUUUGCCUUGCUAUUUUCUUAGUAAUGACUGGAAAUACUUACUGCUACUGUUUCACCUGCCAGAAGUUCUUUUUUAAGAGGAACUAAUUGGAAUUAAGUGUAACAGCAGAAAUAACAACAGUCUUUGUGUGCUGUGAUAAGCUUUUUAAAGCUUAAGAUCUCUUUUCCAUUGGUAUGAUUUGGAAGUGCAUAUAGCAACAGUGAUUGUAAUGCAGUAUGUUAGACCAGCAUAAGCUCAGAAAACAUCUCUCCUGAAAGAAAUUUCUUCUUCAGCAUGACAGGACUGAGGAUUCCUUUUAGGAAAUGUUUGUAACAUUGAUGUUAAGUUUUGCUUUGUCCCUUAGCCAUUUCUGUUGAUUUAUUGCCUGAG
This 887-nucleotide long non-coding RNA is filed under the name Phasianus colchicus (ring-necked pheasant). RNAcentral's name for it is "lncRNA (ENSPCLG00000012833.1)". The record is from RNAcentral. Lineage: Eukaryota; Metazoa; Chordata; Aves; Galliformes; Phasianidae.